GCGGUACGUGAGCUGGGUUCAGAACGUCGUGAGACAGUUCGGUCCCUAUCCUAUGUGGGCGCAGGAUGAUUGAGGAGAUUUGCUCUCAGUACGAGAGGACCGGAGUGAACGAACCUCUAGUGUACCAGUUGUCGCGCCAGCGGCAUGGCUGGGUAGCUACGUUCGGAAGGGAUAAGCGCUGAAAGCAUCUAAGCACGAAGCCCACUCCAAGAUGAGUCAUCCCGUCAUAAGACCUAAAGACUCCUGGAAGACGACCAGGUGAUAGGCAGCAGGUGUACGCACAGCAAUGUGUUUAGCUGAGCUGUACUAAUAAGUCGUGAGACUUCCCAUU
RNAcentral lists this ribosomal RNA (331 nucleotides) under Bacteroidota bacterium. RNAcentral's name for it is "partial 23S ribosomal RNA". It matches the Rfam family "Bacterial large subunit ribosomal RNA", at positions 2593 to 2925 of the family's 2925-position model. Lineage: Bacteria; Pseudomonadati; Bacteroidota. The record is from RNAcentral.